AUACGUAGGGGGCGAGCGUUGUCCGGAAUGAUUGGGCGUAAAGGGCGCGUAGGCGGCUUUGCAAGUCAGUAGUGGAAGUCCAUUUUUCAAGGAUGGAAGUGCUACAGAAACUGCGGAGCUUGAGUGCAGGAGAGGUUAUCGGAACUCCCGGUGUAGCGGUGAAAUGCGUAGAGAUCGGGAGGAACACCAGUGGCGAAGGCGGGUAACUGGACUGCAACUGACGCUGAGGCGCGAAAGUGUGGGGAGCAAACAGGAUUAGAUACCCUGGUAGUCCACACUGUAAACGAUGAAUGCUAGGUGUAGGAGGUAUCGACCCCUUCUGUGCCGCAGUAAACACAGUAAGCAUUCCGCCUGGGGAGUACGGUCGCAAGAUUAAAACUCAAAGGAAUUGACGGGG
Molecule: ribosomal RNA, 397 nt
Filed under: uncultured bacterium
Lineage: Bacteria
Description: partial 16S ribosomal RNA
Rfam family: Bacterial small subunit ribosomal RNA
Source: RNAcentral